This 85-nucleotide transfer RNA is filed under the name Nitrospiraceae bacterium. Its description in RNAcentral is "tRNA-Ser". It matches the Rfam family "tRNA". Rfam says of the family: Transfer RNA (tRNA) molecules are approximately 80 nucleotides in length. Their secondary structure includes four short double-helical elements and three loops (D, anti-codon, and T loops). Lineage: Bacteria; Pseudomonadati; Nitrospirota; Nitrospiria; Nitrospirales; Nitrospiraceae. The record is from RNAcentral.
GGUGGCUGAGCGGUUGAAAGCGGCGGUCUUGAAAACCGUUAUAGGGGUGACUCUAUCCGGGGUUCGAAUCCCCGCCCCUCCGCCA